This is a non-coding RNA of Cicer arietinum (chickpea), 102 nucleotides long. The record is from Rfam. NCBI's taxonomy places the organism in Eukaryota, Viridiplantae, Streptophyta, Magnoliopsida, Fabales, Fabaceae.
GUAAUGUUUCUUGCUCAAAUGAGUAUUCCAAUCACACUUGCAAUUAGCAUGCAUAUCAUCAUUGUUGCUGGCUGAGAUGCUCAUUUGAUCAAGCAGUGUUAG